RNAcentral lists this long non-coding RNA (286 nucleotides) under Carica papaya (papaya). RNAcentral's name for it is "long non-coding RNA (CPAP_LNC015512)". The record is from RNAcentral. Lineage: Eukaryota; Viridiplantae; Streptophyta; Magnoliopsida; Brassicales; Caricaceae.
AUUGUGUUUCUGUAGAAUUCUUCGCCCAUAAUUUCACAAAAAUAAACUAAUUCUCCUGAAAAAUUAUAAAAUUCAUGCUGCAUUCUUCUUUUUUCUAAAUUCUUCAAAAAUAUCUCAAAAAUUUAGAUAUUGCAUUAUAUAGAGUUUUAUAGGGGAACAUAAAUUUCGAUUGACAUAUGUAUUUCUUUCUUCUCUUAAAAAUUACAUGUACUUAUUUACAACUCAAAUUUCACCCACCACCUUCGAUAUAAUAUGAUAUUUCUUUUCUGGAAAUUGUACUUCGAUG